CUCAAAAGAGAUAUACAGACACAUAGAAAGAGACGGGAGAAAAGAGAUGCGAAAGAAAGCAGAUAGAGAUCCGGAGCUGGCGAAUCUCCGGCAACCGGCCCCACGCGUGCUCGCCUCCGACCCACAGAAACGAAGUCGUCGAGUCUACGUUUCCCGGCUAGGGUUCCGAUCAAGUUCUGGCAAUUUCCGGUUGACCUUUUUAUCUUGCAUGUUGGUUAUUUGGUUAGAUCGGUUGUCCAUGAGCCUUAAUCUGACGAGUCAUGUUGAUCUGUGGAGUAGGUUACCUCCGGUGAGGUUCCGGCGAGGUUCCGGUGAGGUACCGGAGAAGAUUUCGAUGUUGCUUGGAUUGGGUAGUCUAGAGAGAGAGAGAGAGAGAGAGAGGUGGUGGCUGUUCAGAUUCUAGAGCUCGAUGCCUCGAUGUAUAAGCCGGGCGACUAUUGCGACCGAGAGAAGUUCGUCGGCGGCGGAUGCGAACAUGUUCUAAAUCAGUGUAGUGUCGUGCUCCGUCGAUGACACCGAUAUCUGUCAUAUCUUCAACCCUAACAUCAUCUUCUUAAUCCUCCCUUCCCCGUCGCUCCACCUCCGCCGGAUCGGCAUUACGCGCGCCGCCUCCAACAACCACUACGUUGCGCUGUUCUCGGUGUAUCAGGAGGUGCUUUAACUUCGGAUAUCAAGAGAUCGUAUCGUCUACUGGCUUGAAAGGGAAAGAUUUUGUGUAAUGACUGCCAUAUCACGAUCCUUCCAUGCUACUUGAAAAGCAUGUAUCAACAAAGAGAAUUGUAUACGAGUGUUAAGAGAUAUAUGUUUUGGGGAAAUCGGGAUUUUGGUCAGAGUCCCACAAUUUCAUGAAUUUGAUGUUGACCACAUUGGUUCAAGAUGAAAGCGGUGAACCAAUACGAACUCGAUGCGAGAAUGCAAUGACAUGUGAGGAAAAGUUGAAAGUUACAGCAAGUUACAAGCACCUGCUUCUGCUCAAUUCAGAUACUAAAUCCACGGUGAGUGUCCUUUGAAUCUAAACGUUAUAAGCCUUGGCGUGUUGGGUACCUUAGACAGCAAGAAACUUCGCAACUACAUUUAAAAAAAGCAGUUGAAGAUGGUUCUAUAGAUUAUUAUAGCCGCUAGCAAGUCUUUGGUUAUUCAUUAAAGAUGAUUCAUGUUGAAGAGACUAAUGGCCGAGAAGCCAACUUUAUGGAUUCCAGCUUAUCUAUCUUAAAGAAUGCAGUUUGAACUUAAAUGAUUAAUGGACUCAAAGUUGGAUAGCCACCAGAUCAAUUUUAAUCUUGAGAUGGAAUUAAAGCCACAAGCACAACCAUUAUGUGUGUGACUUAACACGGUUGAGGCGCACUUUCUUUUGGGGAGGUAACGAAGACAACGAGAUGAAUUUGGUCGCUUCGUGUAAUGUUGUUCCUACAAAUUAUGGGGGUAUCGGUAUUGGGUCCUUGAAAGACACAAAUUUAGCUAUGCUUGCGAAAUGGUGGUGGAUGUUCAUAACCGAGCAAGGAGCUUUGUGGUGGAAGGUGAUUUGGGUAAUUCAUAGUGGGUUGAGGGGUUGGGUUUUCAUUCCGCGAAGCCUUUCUACUCCGGGUCCGUGGAAGCAAAUUGUGUGUAUAAAUGAAGUUCUGGGCAGUUUUGAAGUUAAUUUGGUGGGAUUGAUUAAUGGCCCUCUAAGCAUCUUUUUUCCUAAUCUUUAUAGGCUGGAAAAAGCUAAGAAUUGUGUGGUUGGGGAUUGAGUUGGGGCUGGGCAUAAUGGGGUUCGGUUCACUUGGGUUUGGGCUUGCAGAAAUCUCACUCAGCUUGAAACAGACGAAUUAAUGGGGUUACGGUCUUUCUUAGUUCUAUGCAGGCUUCUCCAAGGCCGGAUAAGUGGCAAUGGACAUUGGAAGGGUCGGGUUUAUUUUCGGCCAAAAGCUUAAAACGGGUCAUACGGGAAUUUGAUGCUCUGCAGCCUUCUUUUAGGUUUCCAUGGGUGAAUUGGGUUCCUAAAAAGGUGGGUUUUGUGGCUUAGAGGCCAGUUCUUCAGCGCCUUCCUACUGCUGAAGCGCUGAGUAGAAGAAACAUCUUGGUUCAGAACCCGCUGUGCAAGUUAUGUGGUGACUGCUUAGAGACUACUGACUAUGUGUUUAUAGCUUGACAAUUUUCGCGAAUGGUUUGGCAGGUUAUAUCCCAGUGGUGUAAUAUUCCCCCUAUCUACAUGUUCUAUAUCCAUGACCUUUUGAGCAUCCACUUGGCGAUUGACGUGUAACGCCUCGCUUUUUGAAAAUUCCUUAUUUAGAAAGACUAUUUAUAUUCCUAUUUUUGGAAACUUAUAUUCGUAUCAUAUUCAUAUUUCACUACCAGCUUCGUAAUUCAAAACGUUUAUCCUAAUAAAACUUGAUCAUUUUAUAAGAACUA
This is a long non-coding RNA of Helianthus annuus (common sunflower), 2391 nucleotides long. RefSeq lists it as uncharacterized. Lineage: Eukaryota; Viridiplantae; Streptophyta; Magnoliopsida; Asterales; Asteraceae. The transcript is spliced from 9 exons. The record is from RefSeq and is a predicted model, not a curated record.